This 439-nucleotide ribosomal RNA is filed under the name Corynebacterium jeikeium. RNAcentral describes it as "bacterial SSU rRNA". It matches the Rfam family "Bacterial small subunit ribosomal RNA", at positions 38 to 483 of the family's 1533-position model. Lineage: Bacteria; Bacillati; Actinomycetota; Actinomycetes; Mycobacteriales; Corynebacteriaceae. The record is from RNAcentral.
GGCGGCGUGCUUAACACAUGCAAGUCGAACGGAAAGGCUCUUUGCUUGCAAGGGGUACUCGAGUGGCGAACGGGUGAGUAACACGUGGGUGAUCUGCCUUGCACUUCGGGAUAAGCCUGGGAAACUGGGUCUAAUACCGGAUAGGACCAUGCUUUAGUGUGUGUGGUGGAAAGUUUUUUCGGUGCAAGAUGAGCCCGCGGCCUAUCAGCUUGUUGGUGGGGUAAUGGCCUACCAAGGCGACGACGGGUAGCCGGCCUGAGAGGGUGUACGGCCACAUUGGGACUGAGACACGGCCCAGACUCCUACGGGAGGCAGCAGUGGGGAAUAUUGCACAAUGGGCGCAAGCCUGAUGCAGCGACGCCGCGUGGGGGAUGACGGCCUUCGGGUUGUAAACUCCUUUCGCUAGGGAAGAAGCCACUGUGUGGUGACGGUACCUGGA